AAUAGAUACCCGGGUAGUCCACGCCGUAAACGGUGGGCACUAGGUGUGGGCGACAUUCCACGUCGUCCGUGCCGCAGCUAACGCAUUAAGUGCCCCGCCUGGGAGUACGGCCGCAAGGCUAAAACUCAAAGGGAUUGACGGGGGCCCGCACAAGCGGCGGAGCAUGUGGCUUAAUUCGACGCAACGCGAAGAACCUUACCAAGGCUUGACAUACACCGGAAACGUCCAGAGAUGGGCGCCCCCUUGUGGUCGGUGUACAGGUGGUGCAUGGCUGUCGUCAGCUCGUGUCGUGAGAUGUUGGGUUAAGUCCCGCAACGAGCGCAACCCUUGUCCCGUGUUGCCAGCAGGCCCUUGUGGUGCUGGGGACUCACGGGAGACCGCCGGGGUCAACUCGGAGGAAGGUGGGGACGACGUCAAGUCAUCAUGCCCCUUAUGUCUUGGGCUGCACACGUGCUACAAUGGCCGGUACAAUGAGCUGCGAUACCGCGAGGUGGAGCGAAUCUCAAAAAGCCGGUCUCAGUUCGGAUUGGGGUCUGCAACC
Molecule: ribosomal RNA, 541 nt
Filed under: uncultured bacterium
Lineage: Bacteria
Description: bacterial SSU rRNA
Rfam family: Bacterial small subunit ribosomal RNA
Source: RNAcentral